CAACGACCAUAUUUGUUGCAAAUCUUUCUAAUAAUUAAUGGUAACAACUUUAAUCGUUGCUAAAUAUACCGCUUUUAAUUGUAACGACAAUGUUGUUGCUGUAUUUAUGACUACAAACCUAAAAAGUACAAAAAUAAUAAUAAAAAAUUGAUAAAACAAAAUAAAGUUGUACUGUAUAUUUUACUUUCCCAAACCCAGAACCUUUUAUCCUUCUUCUUCCCCGCCUAACCCUUAUUUCAUCUCGCCACCCCAAAUUUUCGCCACUCCAAAAUUCAAAGCAACUACAAAAUUAUCCAAAACAACUACAAAUUAAGCUUACUAAAAUUAUCUAUUAUUUCACCUCAAAAAAAAUUAUAAAUUCUAAAUAAAUUACUUCUUAGCCCAAAUUGCUUGAAUCAUUUGGUGCGAUAUAAUUUUGGGAGUUAGUGUUUGUCUAAAAAAAAGGUAAUUCUUGUGGGUAUGAAUUUUGACAUUAGCUAGCUGUGAUGAUUUCUUCUUGGUACUACUCUAAUAGCAAGUAACAAGAGAGACACAUAAUUAGUAGCUAGCUGCUAGAAAAUCGAAGUAACCAAAGGAGAAAACUUUUUGAGCUAUAGCAAGCUAUCUGGUUGUCAAGAUUAUUUAAGCAGGUUGAUCGAGUGAUUGUAGCUAAAUGAGCUCAAGUGUUUCGAUUAGUAUGUUGUAACCAGUUUGUAAAGUUGUAUAAAUAGCUCACCUAGAUUUAUUGGGUUGUAUUUAUUGGGAUUUGUAAGCCUUAACACUCGACAUGUUGUUGAGUGUGGCGGUGAUACCUCCGAUUUAGGUGUAUGCUGCCGCAAUUUUAUUUAAAGGUUGUCUAUUUUCCCUUUAUUUAUUGUUUAUUAUCAGUUAGUAAA
Chenopodium quinoa (quinoa) is the source of this 875-nucleotide long non-coding RNA. RefSeq lists it as uncharacterized. The transcript has 3 exons. The record is from RefSeq and is a predicted model, not a curated record. NCBI's taxonomy places the organism in Eukaryota, Viridiplantae, Streptophyta, Magnoliopsida, Caryophyllales, Amaranthaceae.